RNAcentral lists this ribosomal RNA (437 nucleotides) under uncultured bacterium. Its description in RNAcentral is "partial 16S ribosomal RNA". It matches the Rfam family "Bacterial small subunit ribosomal RNA", at positions 341 to 792 of the family's 1533-position model. The record is from RNAcentral.
ACGGGAGGCAGCAGUGGGGAAUAUUGGGCAAUGGGCGAAAGCCUGACCCAGCGACGCCGCGUGAGGGAAGAAGGUUUUCGGAUUGUAAACCUCUGUCCUAAGGGAAGAAGGAAGUGACGGUACCUUAGGAGGAAGCCCCGGCUAACUACGUGCCAGCAGCCGCGGUAAUACGUAGGGGGCGAGCGUUGUCCGGAAUGACUGGGCGUAAAGGGCGCGUAGGCUGCCUGAUAAGUCUGGAGUGAAAGUCCUGCUUUUAAGGUGGGAAUUGCUUUGGAUACUGUCGGGCUUGAGUGCAGGAGAGGUAAGUGGAAUUCCCAGUGUAGCGGUGAAAUGCGUAGAGAUUGGGAGGAACACCAGUGGCGAAGGCGACUUACUGGACUGUAACUGACGCUGAGGCGCGAAAGUGUGGGGAGCAAACAGGAUUAGAUACCCUGGUA